This 506-nucleotide ribosomal RNA is filed under the name uncultured bacterium. RNAcentral describes it as "partial 16S ribosomal RNA". It matches the Rfam family "Bacterial small subunit ribosomal RNA", at positions 29 to 523 of the family's 1533-position model. The record is from RNAcentral.
AGUGAACGCUGGCGGUAGGCCUAACACAUGCAAGUCGAACGGCAGCACAGGAGAGCUUGCUCUCUGGGUGGCGAGUGGCGGACGGGUGAGGAAUACAUCGGAAUCUACUCUGUCGUGGGGGAUAACGUAGGGAAACCUACGCUAAUACCGCAUACGACCUACGGGUGAAAGCAGGGGACCUUCGGGCCUUGCGCGAUUGAAUGAGCCGAUGUCGGAUUAGCUAGUUGGCGGGGUAAGGGCCCACCAAGGCGACGAUCCGUAGCUGGUCUGAGAGGAGGAUCAGCCACACUGGAACUGAGACACGGUCCAGACUCCUACGGGGGGCAGCAGUGGGGAAUAUUGGACAAUGGGCGCAAGCCUGAUCCAGCCAUACCGCGUGGGUGAAGAAGGCCUUCGGGUUGUAAAGCCCUUUUGUUGGGAAAGAAAUCCAGCUGGCUAAUACCCGGUUGGGAUGACGGUACCCAGAGAAUAAGCACCGGCUAACUUCGUGCCAGCAGCCGCCGUAA